Long non-coding RNA from Carassius gibelio (silver crucian carp), 911 nucleotides. RefSeq lists it as uncharacterized. Lineage: Eukaryota; Metazoa; Chordata; Actinopteri; Cypriniformes; Cyprinidae. The transcript is spliced from 3 exons. The record is from RefSeq and is a predicted model, not a curated record.
UAUUUUUAGCUGAAAAGACGUAAAGGCAGUCAGCCCAGUGGUGUUUCUGGAGAGGGAUUCCUUCAGAAAUGGAGAAGACAGAAAGCUGCGGAGGCAGAUAUAUGCAGCAUGUUCAAGUGAGCAUGAUGACCACAAGUGUGUGUCGAACUUUUCAUGACCUGAUGACUGUGUUUCCCAAUCCUGAUCCUGGAGAACCCCAGCACUGCACGGUUUUGGCGUCUCUCUUAUCUGCCUUGGAGUCUUCACUGAUGAGCUGAUGAGUUGAAUCAGGAUUGUUUGAGGAUAACGCUGCAGUUCUCCAUCAUGCACAAGGACUCACCUCGUUAACUCUUUAUCCCCCGCACACACAGAAAUGGUCCCUGGAUCAGUGAUUAGACUUUGCAGUGGUUUGAUUUUUGCAGAAGAUGUAACUUUGUUUUAAUUAUAAGCUCAUAAUGAAUACAUUACAGAACCAGUGAUGAAAACAAUAGUUAAAAAUAGCGCUCCAUAUUAAAAAUAUAUUGCACACUUGACAUGCAUGUCUUCAUGGUGUUUUUUUGUGAGUUUGAAACAUUUACAUUGUGUUGUAUAACAUUUUGGUCACAACACUUUUUCCAGUGUUCUCUGAAAGACAUACUGUAUUUACUGUUUUGUUUUUUAAUAAAAGCAUUUUCAUUUGCAUACUGAAAAUAGUUAAUGUUUACAACAUAACUGCCUUUUUGUUCUUUAUGGUGGCAAAAACGAGCUUGGUGACAGAGGAUGCAGUGUAGUAAUUUGGGCAUGUUGUCUUUAAAUGAGUUUGACAUAUAAAUAAAUAAUGGAAGAUCCUUACAAAAAUAUGCAUGUUUAUUAUGCUUUAUGUAUUUAUUUGUUCAUUCAUUCAUUUAUAAUUUCAGUUUUUAUUCCUAGAGUUCAAAUGGUAGAGAAUGGUA